Molecule: long non-coding RNA, 444 nt
Organism: Ananas comosus (pineapple)
Lineage: Eukaryota; Viridiplantae; Streptophyta; Magnoliopsida; Poales; Bromeliaceae
Exons: 3
Source: RefSeq, a predicted model, not a curated record
CAGAACUGGGCUAUCCAGAUAACGACUUCAACAGACUUGGCCCGAGGCCGACAACUUUUUCGGGACAAAGAGCACUUGAUUUUGUUUUGAGGAACCAGGGCUUAAUUGACAAAACUCUGCUGUUCGACAUCGAGCUUCUCAAAAUCCUCCCCAACUAAUUCCGCCUACCAGGGGUACAUUGAUGAGAUUUUUCGGCAGAAAAAUUUUAAGAACUUGAUGACUCCCUUUUCUUUUGUACAGUUUUUCUGUGUUCUUCACUCUGGUAGGCUGAACUAUUAUUUCGUGUGUUGUCUACUGUUAUUGUAAAUGUCUGCAAGAAAAUGCUUGAGAAAUCAGUCUUCCUGUUAGAGAAAAGUUUCUUCAUUCUGUCACAGCUAUUUUUUGUGUACUUGACUAGAUGUUUUUGGAUUUCUUUGAUAAUAUGUGGAGUUUCCUCUUCAGAUA